AAUGAACGUUGGCGGCGUGGAUUAGGCAUGCAAGUCGUGCGCGAAGGUUUCCUUCGGGAGACUGGAAAGCGGCGAAAGGGAGAGUAACGCGUGGAUACUUACCCCCAGGUCCGGGAUAGCGGCGGGAAACUGCCGGUAAUACCGGAUGAUAUCUCCGGAUCAAAGGUGUGAUUCCGCCUGGGGAUGGGUCCGCGUCCUAUUAGCUUGUUGGUGGGGUAAUGGCCUACCAAGGCUUUGAUGGGUAGCGGGUGUGAGAGCAUGGCCCGCCUCACUGGGACUGAGACACUGCCCAGACACCUACGGGUGGCUGCAGUCGAGAAUCUUCGGCAAUGGGCGAAAGCCUGACCGAGCGACGCCGCGUGCGGGAUGAAGGCCCUCGGGUUGUAAACCGCUGUCAGUUGUUAGGAAAUCCAUGAGGGUUCUCUCUCAUGGUUGACCGAUCUUCAGAGGAAGGACGGGCUAAGUUCGUG
This 470-nucleotide ribosomal RNA is filed under the name uncultured bacterium. Its description in RNAcentral is "bacterial SSU rRNA". It matches the Rfam family "Bacterial small subunit ribosomal RNA", at positions 28 to 507 of the family's 1533-position model. The record is from RNAcentral.